RNAcentral lists this ribosomal RNA (468 nucleotides) under uncultured bacterium. RNAcentral's name for it is "partial 16S ribosomal RNA". It matches the Rfam family "Bacterial small subunit ribosomal RNA", at positions 28 to 507 of the family's 1533-position model. The record is from RNAcentral.
GACGAACGCUGGCGGCGUGCUUAACACAUGCAAGUCGAACGGAAAGGCCCUGCUUUUGUGGGGUGCUCGAGUGGCGAACGGGUGAGUAACACGUGAGUAACCUGCCCUUGACUUUGGGAUAACUUCAGGAAACUGGGGCUAAUACCGGAUAGGAGCUCCUGCUGCAUGGUGGGGGUUGGAAAGUUUCGGCGGUUGGGGAUGGACUCGCGGCUUAUCAGCUUGUUGGUGGGGUAGUGGCUUACCAAGGCUUUGACGGGUAGCCGGCCUGAGAGGGUGACCGGCGACAUGGGGACUGAGAUACGGACCAGACUCCUACGGGAGGCAGCAGUGGGGAAUAUUGCACAAUGGGCGGAAGCCUGAUGCAGCAACGCCGCGUGCGGGAUGACGGCCUUCGGGUUGUAAACCGCUUUCGCCUGUGACGAAGCGUGAGUGACGGUAAUGGGUAAAGAAGUACCGGCUAACUACGUG